Molecule: small nuclear RNA, 161 nt
Organism: Hibiscus syriacus
Lineage: Eukaryota; Viridiplantae; Streptophyta; Magnoliopsida; Malvales; Malvaceae
Product: U1 spliceosomal RNA
Exons: 1
Source: RefSeq, a predicted model, not a curated record
AUACUUACCUGGACGGGGUCGAUGGGUGAUCAGUAAGAUCCAUGGCCUAGGUUGGUGGCUUUCAUUGCACUCAGAAGGUGCACCUGCCUAAGGUCUCCCCGAGUGUGAGAGCUUACGUCUUUAUUUGUGGCAGUUGGGGCCUGCGAACGCGCGGCCCCUUC